UGAACGCUGGCGGCGUGCUUACCACAUGCAAGUCGACCGGAAAGGCUCCUGCUUGCAGGGGUACUCGAGUGGCGAACGGGUGAGUAACACGUGGGUGAUCUGCCCUGCACUUCGGGAUAAGCCUGGGAAACUGGGUCUAAUACCGGAUAGGACCACAUUUUGGAUGGUGUGGUGGAAAGUUUUUCGGUGUGGGAUGAGCUCGCGGCCUAUCAGCUUGUUGGUGGGGUAAUGGCCUACCAAGGCGUCGACGGGUAGCCGGCCUGAGAGGGUGUACGGCCACAUUGGGACUGAGAUACGGCCCAGACUCCUACGGGAGGCAGCAGUGGGGAAUAUUGCACAAUGGGCGCAAGCCUGAUGCAGCGACGCCGCGUGGGGGAUGACGGCCUUCGGGUUGUAAACUCCUUUCGCUAGGGACGAAGCGUUUUUGUGACGGUACCUGGAGAAGAAGCACCGGCUAACUACGUG
RNAcentral lists this ribosomal RNA (465 nucleotides) under uncultured bacterium. Its description in RNAcentral is "partial 16S ribosomal RNA". It matches the Rfam family "Bacterial small subunit ribosomal RNA", at positions 30 to 507 of the family's 1533-position model. The record is from RNAcentral.